Molecule: non-coding RNA, 47 nt
Organism: Erinaceus europaeus (western European hedgehog)
Lineage: Eukaryota; Metazoa; Chordata; Mammalia; Eulipotyphla; Erinaceidae
Source: Rfam
CCAAAGGCUCUUUUAAGAGCCACCUCACUUGUCUACAAAAGAGCUGU